This 482-nucleotide long non-coding RNA is filed under the name Elaeis guineensis (African oil palm). RNAcentral describes it as "long non-coding RNA (EGUI_LNC032195)". Lineage: Eukaryota; Viridiplantae; Streptophyta; Magnoliopsida; Arecales; Arecaceae. The record is from RNAcentral.
GCCUCAUGGUGUUGGUUCGACCUAUGGGAUAGAAUUUCUUAAGAAACUCAUGCUGCAUUUCAGUCCAAGUUUGGAUUGGUCUCCCUAUUGUGCCAAGCCAGUACUUGGCUUUGUCUUUAAGUGAGAAGGAGAAUAAGGUCAAUCUAAGUACAUCAUCAGUAAAAUUUUGAAUUUUCACCGUGAAACAAAUUUCUAAGAACUCAUCCAGAUGCUUGUAAGGAUCUUCAUUAGUAUUUCUAUAGAAAGAUGGAAGUAUCUGGAUUAAGGUCGAUUUGAUCUCAUAGUGGCUUGCAGGGAUAUCAGGUAAGUGGAUACAAAUCGAUGGGUUAUAGGUGGAAGGAAUAAAAUAUUCCUUCAUCUACUUAGGUGGUUCUCUAGGAUUUUCAGCCAUCUGAUUUUCAGGUUUAAUAUGAAUCAACUGUUCAAUCUCAAGAUUGGGUUCAACUAGGUCAGGAUAGAGAGAUCUUCUACCUUGCAUAUAC